UUACCCUUUUGUUGAUUUCUUUUGACAUCAAGUCCUCCUCAAUAGCUGAUUUAGCUUGGAAUCAUAUGGCCCAAGAACAGCCUGCUAGCAGGUCUGUGUCAGCAGAACUGAGAGCACAUCUCAACAUCCUGGAUAAGGUUCUUCCACCUGGUGUGAAGCAGAGCAGGAGAGCACAACAGAGCAUGACUACAGACAAAUGUAUAUAGAUGUUGUAUCUGCCUUGAGCCGACACAACCUUUACUGCAGUUCAGUUCACCACUUUCCCUUCCUUUUCCUCAUGCUGUAUCCCCAUACUGCAAGCUGAUGCAUUGCCACAUUGCCACAUACUUAUUAAAUCCUGUCAUGACAGUCCCAGAGCCAGUUAAUUCCCACAGGUACUCUAAUCACAGGCCAUAGAAAGGGUAGCAGGAAACCAGCAACUGGAGACAAUUAAUGGAGAAGGGGAUGUGUUGUGGUGUGUUGCAAUAUCCUGUUUUACCUUCUCCCUUCCCCCUCGCCCCUCGCUGAGUGUGCC
Zonotrichia albicollis (white-throated sparrow) is the source of this 514-nucleotide non-coding RNA. NCBI's taxonomy places the organism in Eukaryota, Metazoa, Chordata, Aves, Passeriformes, Passerellidae. The record is from RefSeq and is a predicted model, not a curated record.